Molecule: ribosomal RNA, 578 nt
Filed under: uncultured bacterium
Lineage: Bacteria
Description: bacterial SSU rRNA
Rfam family: Bacterial small subunit ribosomal RNA
Source: RNAcentral
CCUACGGGAGGCAGCAGUAAGGAAUAUUGGACAAUGGGGGCAACCCUGAUCCAGCCAUCCCGCGUGCAGGAAGACGGCCCUAUGGGUUGUAAACUGCUUUUAGAAGGGAAGAAAAUUAUUCAUUUAUGAGUAACUGACGGUACCUUCAGAAUAAGCACCGGCUAACUCCGUGCCAGCAGCCGCGGUAAAACGGAGGGUGCAAGCGUUAUCCGGAAUCACUGGGUUUAAAGGGUGCGUAGGCGGAUAUAUAAGUCAGAGGUGAAAGCUCUGAGCUCAACUGAGGAAUUGCCUUUGAUACUGUAUAUCUUGAAUUGUGUUGAGGUUAGCGGAAUGAGUCAUGUAGCGGUGAAAUGCAUAGAUAUGACUUAGAACACCAAUUGCGAAGGCAGCUAGCUAGGCAUAAAUUGACGCUGAGGCACGAAAGCGUGGGGAGCGAACAGGAUUAGAUACCCUGGUAGUCCACGCCCUAAACGAUGCUUACUCGAUGUUUGUACAUAAGUAUGAGCAUCCAAGGGAAACCGUUAAGUAAGCCACCUGGGGAGUACGUUCGCAAGAAUGAAACUCAAAGGAAUUGACGG